UCAUGCUUAAACAUCUUCUUCAUUUGCUUAUCUUUGUAGAUGUCAUGCUUGAACAUCUUUCUUUACCAUUUGUUUACCUUUAAUGUCAUGCUUGAAUAUAUUUCUUUAUCAUUUGCUUAUCUUUGUGGAUGUCAUGCUAACAUCUUGCUUAUCUUUUGUUUGUCUUUUUGCCCAAAUCCAAGGGAAAGAACUCUUUAUUGACUUAAUGUCAUAGGUAGUUUAGCAAUCCCUAGUUCCCCUUUGGCCUUGUUAGAGCCAUUUUC
This 263-nucleotide long non-coding RNA is filed under the name Lathyrus oleraceus (garden pea). RNAcentral describes it as "Pisum sativum (pea) long non-coding RNA (PSAT_LNC034142)". The record is from RNAcentral. Lineage: Eukaryota; Viridiplantae; Streptophyta; Magnoliopsida; Fabales; Fabaceae.